Molecule: long non-coding RNA, 7189 nt
Filed under: Podarcis lilfordi (Lilford's wall lizard)
Lineage: Eukaryota; Metazoa; Chordata; Lepidosauria; Squamata; Lacertidae
Source: RNAcentral
AAAAGUAAUGUUGGAAAGCGCCCGUAGUCAGAGGUUCUUCUCUGCUGUAAACUUAUAUGAUUUCUAUGCAGUUGCUGCAAGUUCCUUUUUCAACUUUCCCUGUUUGCCGUAUGUCAAAAAGAUUUUAAAAAUUAUUGUUAUUAAAAUAAGAAGGAGGCAAUGCUGGCUGCAAACAAGGAAGCAACUAGAAAUAUCUGGCGCUUUUGCAAGUGUGGUUUGGUUCCAGCUUGAGAGUAAGCAAGCUUCUCUCUCCCUUGCAAGGCCUCACCUUGCAAGUUUAAUCAAUGCAUUAUGUAAAGGUCAAGAAGUAUCUGUCUUCAGACAAGGUAUUUCUACGAACACCUAUUAGAAAGGCAAACAGUCCCCUUCUCAGUGCAAACAUUUGUUUUGGAUCUGACAGCAUUUGGAAGCAGCCUUUUUCUCAGAGGAAACUCCCUGCCCCUUGUACUUUGUGCUACCCAUCUGCUGGGUGACAGACAGUGGUUGCUGCUACUCUGGGCUUGGAGAGAAAAGCAGCCUUUUAUUUAUUUCCAUAGUUUUCCUUUAAAUCACAACAAAGGCAGAGGUAUUUGCUUAGAAACUUGUGCAAACUUCCUCUCGCUUGCUGUGCGUGGCACCCAGGAGCUUCCCGCGAAGGCCUUCGAAUGGCUUGACCUUUCAGAAUAGCUUUCCAUGGAUACCAUCUGAGAUCGACGUACUCAAACACAUCUUUACACAUUAUUAUAUUAACUGGCUGGAACCAGUCUUUCCAGUUGGUGAGGGAUUUGUAGAAUAAAAGGAAAGGCAAACUCUUUAGGGAGCAAGAACAAGGCUUAGGUGCAAGGAAAUUGGUUUUAUUUCGUUUUUUAAAGGAGGGAGGGUGCGUUAGCAUUGGCACUCCUAUACCAAAGCUCAUUACUGCAGGCAGAACACAAAUAACUAGCUGUAUAAUUUGUUCCAUUGAUCAAAGAGAUUUGGGAGGCAGCGCCUGGAACUGCCAAGCCCUCCUGCUCACCUGCUUACCCAAGUCUGUGUCUUGAGAGGGUGCACUAAAGCUAUAAGACACAUCAGGGUGGACUUUUUUUGUAUGAAUACUUUUGAAUCAUUGAUUUUUAACUUCUGUCUUUUGAUGUAAAUCAUGCUGUAUAAAAUGAAUUGUUGUAAGCAUUAAGUCAGGCCUAGCAUUCUCUGUAAAGAUUGAUACGUAUUUGUCUGAUUGCUAUUUGAACUGCACAUAUAAAAUGUGCUAGACAUUCCACCAGGAGUAUUAAAAGGUAUUUAAGGAAGUGUGGUGCGUGAGCAUGUAUGUGUGAGUGAGAGGAAAGGGUGAGUAUGUCAGGUUUUUCACCUCUACUUUUCUCCAACUUCAAAUGCCUCCAUCCAGAAAGGUGUAAAAUCUUCCUGCUCCCUCAACCCAGGGCUGCUUCCUAACACUCUGCUGGGUGGCUGAGCACCUUGUGGUACUUUUGGCUACUGAUUCUGAUCCCGACACUGCUAAUAAAAUAUUUCUACACCUUUCUGCUUUCCCAUUUCUUGUGUGGUCUGUAACUUAAGAGAAUCCCUUUAUAAGCCCUGUGUAGCAUUUGAGAGCUUCACAGUUGCCCCUCCCCUCCCACCUUUCCUGCAAGGUUGCCUAUGAGAAAUUGGAAUACAGUGACCAGGCCUUGCAGUGUUUUGGUGAGGUCUGGAGAGAGUUUGGUCCAGUGGUUGAUUUAUCCCAGGUUCUAGCACCAGUGGCUUCUGGCAAGGCAAGGCAAGCCUUUGCCAUGUAGCCAAUAGACUAGUGUAAGCUUGUGGGGGGGGGGGGGAGAAGUGAGCCAAGUAGUUUAAAGCAAUUUAGAGUUGUUUUUUUAAAAAUAAAUUCUGAUGGUGAUAGUUUAGUAUGAUUUAUAUUGAAGCAAAGCUACCUUCUGGUUGGGAGGCAUUCUUCAGACUGUGCUCUGUGCAUCAGUCCUUAUGUCAUGCAAGUGACACUAUGUCACCAACAUGCCAGGUUGAUAUGCUGUCCGCUAAGUAAGUUGCAAAGAGGCCAUUUCCUCUCCCUUUGAUGCCCUGUAACCCACUUUUGUGAUAGUGAGAACUUGACUCUUAAUUCUUCCAGUAGAUAUAACUUUGGAAACCAGCCUUCUUGGGUUGGGCUCUUCUCUUUGCAGGGGUUUAAUUCCUGUGCACUGUUUCCCAUCCGUCCACUUCUUCAGCAUUUGUCUUUCUUUUUCUUUUCUUUUUUUGCAAGGAGUGUGUGUCAUCUGUUAAAUGCAAUCUUGCUUUGUUGGUUUCUGCCUCAAAAAUAGGUGCUCUUUCCAGAAUCAGUGGUUAUCUGCAGUAGUACAGUUGCUAUGGCCUGGUGAUGUUAUAAACUUGGUCUAACCUGGUACUGCUCUCUAGCAAAAGAAUUGCGAGAGUAAGGGGAGAAGCCUGGGGUUGCGACUGUAAUAGCCUUACUCAGUAUAGUGACAAGAAAGGCUUUUCCGUUCCUCUAACUGUGGCUCUGUUUCUGCUCCUCUCUACGUGCUUGGCAGGUUCUACUGCUUAAGCAUCUUGGGCCCCAUUGCCAAAACGGUCUAAAGGCAGUGCUUUUUGUGGGGGUUAAAAAUGAAGUAUCAUGUCUUGAUAAAAGUGGGGUAGGUGUCAGCACAAGAUGGCUGCCAUGGGCAGCAAAAAAAGAGGUGAUGAUACCUGUGAGUACUGUCACAAAACCCCUGUUCACAAGUAUAGUCAAACUGGGAUGGUUUGCACCUUCCUGUUUCCAUGCUACCUGGGCAUUCCUAGAAGAGAGUGGAUGGCUUUGCUUAUUGGAUAAAACCAUCCUCUGUACUGUUUUCUUUCCAUCAGAUGCAAUGGACCAUCAUGAAUCCUAGCCUCUCCUGUAGCACACACUGUGUUUGAAAAGGGACCCUCUUCCCCCCGAUGGUAUGGUGGAGAAUUCCCCAUAACUUGCCCUGUUGCUCAUCUCUUUAUAUCUCAUCUCCUUAAAUCUGGCCCUUUGCCGUCCCUUCUCAUUGAGACAAACUAGACGUUCUUCACAAAAAGAUCUUCCAUUAGUUGUCUUCCAUUUUCUCCCAACAGCCUUUUUCUUGGUCAAGUGUGCAGUGCUUUUCUUUCCCUGUGGUUGAGAGUAUUACUACUUUCAGUAAUUUUCAAUGAAGGCUGUUAUCUUGUAUUUAAGGGAAAGCCCCAACUUCUGUGCACAUUAUUAAGGAUUGAUGGUGCAGGGCACACAAUGCUUAGAGAAACUUUUGUAGCAACUUUAGCUCUGGACAGUUCCUCUGUCAUAGCUUCUGGGUGGCUUCUGCAGGAAUGCUAUUUAUGGCUCUUUCCUCCCGACAUAAGUACUGUCACUAUGCUUAGGAUUUUGCUUUGUAGUAGUAAGAAUAAUGAUGAUAUCUCCCUUUUCCCAUUCUAUGUCUGGGGAAUAUUUAAGCUGCACAAAACUGUUACUGAGGCUUAUCACUAAUCAUUUUUUAUUAUUAUUAUGAGCUGCAACAUCCUGGCCAAUUAUUCCUAUUCAUCUUCUAAACCAGAAGCUGCUGAAAAGAUCUUUUUCUCUCCAGAGUCAUUUCCUUGUUCCAUUUGUAGGCUCCUGUGAUAAGGCAGCCUUUGCCAGCCUGCUGCCCACCAAAUUUUUUGGACUGCAGCUCCUAUCUGCCCUAGCCAAAACAUCUAGAUGACACUAGCUUGGCAGAGGCUUUGAUAAGACAGUCUUCUGCCUUUGUCCUCUUUAAAGGUGGUAGCCAGUACCUCGCUUCUCUUUUUGUUGCAGAAAUCAGUGUUGGUACCACUCUUCCUCAUCACCAGGAAGCACAGCAGAGCAAUGGGGAAUUAACUUGCGCCAAAGGGAAAUGCAAAGUAUUGGGCUGGAUUCAACCAUUGAGUCCCACUAGCAGGAGCCAGCACAAGGUCUUCUGUGAGUGCAACAGAGUUUUUAGCCCCUCUCCUCCCUGCCUCCCAAAUUGGCUCGGGGCUGUGUGUCAGGGUAAUUGACAGCAAGCGGAGGAGGGAGAAGGGCGAUUGUUCCUUCUGGAAAACUGAAAUGCUUGUGUUGACAGAAUAAUCUCCUUAGUGCUACGUUGAAUUCCUCCACAAAUUGAAAAGGGACUUCAUUAAAUCUGUGAGUGCCUCUGGAAAUGUUGCUAUAAAUAUAACUCUCUUCACUCAGUUCCCACAUGCCCACCAAAUAGAAACAAAUAUGCAGAUAAGAGAUAUUUGAUGAUGCUAUGCAAUGGCCUACAAACCAGUGCCUCCCUAGUCUUUCACACACCCCACCUCUGUCCUUGCUUGGACUUCAUCUGGCAUUGCUCCCUUCCCUGCUACAUGCACACCUGAUCUAGCUCUGCCUAGCUCUUGAAUUUCAUGGAAUUGAGCUGUCUGGGCGAGGUCCCCGUGUUCCUGAAAGGUCCCAUAUGUGAUCAUAGCUUGUUUCAAGGGGUUAAACCGCCUUGGGCCAUUUCAUGCAUGCUAUUUUCCUGCACAGAGAUAAUCUCCAUGCGGCAUGUUCCUGGCACAGAUAAUCUCAAUGAAAAGACACUUGUAUGUUCUUCCCUAAGCCUUCUUCUUGCUCUCCUGUUCUCAGUUAGUUUCUUUUGUAUUUCCAAACCGCCCCCAUUUAGCUAAGUCGCUGAAAAAUUCCCUAUCUAGUCUAAGAUGAACUCAGGAGCUCUGGUUUGCAGGUAGAGGAGACUCUGACCUCUUCUUAAAAACCCUUCCCUCUUGAAGUGUCGCCCUAAGAAUUGUUUCUCACAGAAAUAGUGGAAAUGAGUGGAGUCUGAAUGGGUUUUGUUACCCGUGUGUGACCUUUUACCUAAGUGGGUCUUUUUACACUGUAAUGCUUAUCAAAGGUUUUUUAAGGAUCUGCUUUUUGUGUGUGACUUUAAAAUGCAAUGUGAAUAUAUACAUAUAUGUAUAUGUGUGUUUAUAUAUAAAUAUAUAUAGUAGGUGCUGUGUUAACAUAGCAUCCAGCUAGCGGUUGUAAUGCUUUCCUAGGUGCAGGGUAAUUGCUGCCUUUUCUUCCUGGGUGGUCACAAAAACUAGAAGAAUACUGUAAAUAGUUUUAAAAUAUUUAUUUCCUGUACUUUGUGCUAAUAAGUCUUGGGUGUGCUGUUGGUUUGCAAUGUACUGGUAGUGUGGUUUUUUGGGUGGGUGGGGGGUUCCUACUGCAAAAUUAAUUGGACAUGGGCGGGGGGGACAAGGACUGGCAUCUGGUCUGGAGUUUAUGCUGCAAAAUCAAGGGCUUAGUUCCCAUUGAAGUUGCAUUUGGGCUAUACCCAGAAUAGACAAAUAAAUAUUAAUGACACUUACAUAAUUGAAUACUCCAUAUUUAAAAGCCCUUUCACAUAGAAAGCAAGCUAUCGGGGCGAAUUGUUUUAGCCUGUCCUCCCCGAUAUGCUAGCUUUUGCAUGUGGGAGAAUGUUUUCAUAUGACGGAGUGUUCAGUCAUGUGAUCUCUCGCCUGCAAUCCGAAGUCAAACAGCCCAGGCCCUGGCUUAGAACUGGGCCUAAACCGAGUAAAAGCAUUACAUGGGUUAUCUAAAAUCUCAUUUUCUGUGGAAGCGAGUCAAAGUACAGUUCUGGGCAGCCCGCUUUGUCACGUGCAUCUUUGGGGACAGUACAUGUGAGCAAUAAGAAUUUUUAGUAAUAAUGUUUUCAGUGACAAAUUAAUGUUUAAGUCCUUAUGGGGAAAUUUUGUAAAUGUGUGUGCACAUCUCAUUGAAGACUGCCCUUCUUCACUGGCCUUGCCACAUAGAGAAAGAGACAUAUUUUGCUUCGACAUCUCUGCAUGCUUAUUCACCUGGGCAGGUGGACUCAGGGAUACUGAAUUAAGGGGAGCUCUUGGUGGGGAUAGGAUGGGAGAAAUGCCAACGGCAUACAUGGAGGAAGUGAUGGUGCCCUCCAAGCAUCAUUUAUAGCUGACUCUUGUAAUCUAACCCCUCUUGUGUUGCGUGUUUGAUGUUUCCUGUGCUCACCCCCCCCUUUUUUUUAGAUUAAGCCAAUCAUUCAUCACUUCCCAUGUUUCCAGCUGCUGUGAAGAGUCCAGGGCCCCAUUUUUUACUCUCUCUGCCUCCCUGAAUUUAUUUUAUUUUAUUACUUUGGACCAUUAAGUAUUUCUAUGCUCUCUGCUCCCUCCUGUGUUGUAUUAGUCUUAUUUUGAAUGUCUCUUUUGCGAUUAUCUCAUAUUUUUUAAAGUUAGGCUUGUGUGGAAGUUCCUAAGGGUUUGUUUCUUGUUGUUUGUCAUGGCCAUUCAGAAUUCCCACCCAUCACCCCUCUCUUCUUUCUAUGGAAAACAUGGCAAUGCAGCUUCCUAAUGUAGCUCCAGAAAAAUUGUUGCUUUGCUUGCACCCUUCUUCUGCCAUCUGAAAAGCUUCAGCCCUGCCUAUAUCCAUUGUAAAAGUCCUCAAUUCUCAGAUGAAGUUGUUAAAUGAGGUGGGGGGGGGUAGACUUGCAACCUUUCCACAAGGGCAUUCUUGAAGUUUAGGAUAACCUCCUGCCCAGUUGAAUGAACCUCUAUCAGUGUGUUGCACAGCACUCAACAAGACUGCAGGUGUGUUCUGCACUUCCUGUGUUGAUUUAUAGUCAGUUCAUUCUUCACUCUGUGUUGCACAGGUAUUUUUACUUGCUGUGUCUAAGAGACUCCUAUCUUCCCCAUAUGAUGAACCAAAUGUGUGUCUUGGGGGGUCUAUUCUCUCUAUUCCCCUUCCCUCAGGUCUGGUACUGUGCACAUCACCCAAACCCAGUGUGUGAUCAUGAGUUGGGUAUUUGAAGGCUUAAGUUGGAGCCUCAUUCCCUUCAGGGCCCUGGGAAAUGCUGUGACUUUAGAAGAAGAGCGUGUCUGCUGUGAAUUGUUGGUAAAAUGUGUCAUUAGGUAAUAUUUAUAUACCUCACCUGAGUAACAUUUGAAAAUGUAUAUAAAAAUAAAGGUUCUGUUCAGUGGCUUCCUACCCGUUUGACACACCUACAACACUUAGGGCUACUUUACCAUGGAAAUUGUAUUGAAUCUUUGCCAUUACUUUUGUGACAGCUCCAUGAUUUUUCUGUGUGCUUUAUUAACUCACCAGUGGAAGAGAACGCAUUCUUGUUACAGACUGUGGGGCUGCAGGUGAGGCUUAGACCUCUGCCUCUUUCCAUGUUUCUUCUUCCUCUUUAUGCAUUGUGUAUGUACUCUGCGUGCCCUAAGGAGUCUUACUUUAUUGCCGCUUAUUAAACAUUUCUUUUAUAUC